CCUACGGGAGGCAGCAGUAGGGAAUCUUCCACAAUGGACGAAAGUCUGAUGGAGCAACGCCGCGUGAGUGAAGAAGGGUUUCGGCUCGUAAAGCUCUGUUGGUAGUGAAGAAAGAUAGGGGUAGUAACUGGCCUUUAUUUGACGGUAAUUACUUAGAAAGCCACGGCUAACUACGUGCCAGCAGCCGCGGUAAUACGGAGGUGGCAAGCGUUGUCCGGAUUGAUUGGGCGUAAAGCGAGUGCAGGCGGUUCAAUAAGUCUGAUGUGAAAGCCAUCGGCUCAACCGGAGAAGUGCAUCAGAAACUGGUGAACUUGAGUGCAGAAGAGGAGAGUGGAAUUCCAGGUGUAGCGGUGGAAUGCGUAGAUAUAUGGAAGAACACCAGUGGCGAAGGCGGCUCUCUGGGCUGCAACUGACGCUGAGGCACGAAAGCAUGGGUAGCGAACAGGAUUAGAUACCCUUGUAGUC
This 465-nucleotide ribosomal RNA is filed under the name uncultured bacterium. RNAcentral's name for it is "partial 16S ribosomal RNA". It matches the Rfam family "Bacterial small subunit ribosomal RNA", at positions 338 to 795 of the family's 1533-position model. The record is from RNAcentral.